GAGGAACUGGCGCGUGCUAUACAUGCAAGUCGAACGCUUUGUGGUUCAACUGAUUUGAAGAGCUUGCUCAGAUAUGACGAUGGACAUUGCAAAGAGUGGCGAACGGGUGAGUAACACGUGGGAAACCUACCUCUUAGCAGGGGAUAACAUUUGGAAACAGAUGCUAAUACCGUAUAACAAUGACAACCGCAUGGUUGUUAUUUAAAAGAUGGUUCUGCUAUCACUAAGAGAUGGUCCCGCGGUGCAUUAGCUAGUUGGUAAGGUAAUGGCUUACCAAGGCGAUGAUGCAUAGCCGAGUUGAGAGACUGAUCGGCCACAAUGGGACUGAGACACGGCCCAUACUCCUACGGGAGGCAGCAGUAGGGAAUCUUCCACAAUGGGCGAAAGCCUGAUGGAGCAACGCCGCGUGUGUGAUGAAGGGUUUCGGCUCGUAAAACACUGUUGUAAGAGAAGAAUGACAUUGAGAGUAACUGUUCAAUGUGUGACGGUAUCUUACCAGAAAGGAACGGCUAAAUACGUGCCAGCAGCCGCGGUAAUACGUAUGUUCCAAGCGUUAUCCGGAUUUAUUGGGCGUAAAGCGAGCGCAGACGGUUAUUUAAGUCUGAAGUGAAAGCCCUCAGCUCAACUGAGGAAUUGCUUUGGAAACUGGAUGACUUGAGUGCAGUAGAGGAAAGUGGAACUCCAUGUGUAGCGGUGAAAUGCGUAGAUAUAUGGAAGAACACCAGUGGCGAAGGCGGCUUUCUGGACUGUAACUGACGUUGAGGCUCGAAAGUGUGGGUAGCAAACAGGAUUAGAUACCCUGGUAGUCCACACCGUAAACGAUGAGUGCUAGGUGUUUGAGGGUUUCCGCCCUUAAGUGCCGCAGCUAACGCAUUAAGCACUCCGCCUGGGGAGUACGACCGCAAGGUUGAAACUCAAAGGAAUUGACGGGGACCCGCACAAGCGGUGGAGCAUGUGGUUUAAUUCGAAGCAACGCGAAGAACCUUACCAGGUCUUGACAUCCCUUGACAACUCCAGAGAUGGAGCGUUCCCUUCGGGGACAAGGUGACAGGUGGUGCAUGGUUGUCGUCAGCUCGUGUCGUGAGAUGUUGGGUUAAGUCCCGCAACGAGCGCAACCCUUAUUACUAGUUGCCAGCAUUCAGUUGGGCACUCUAGUGAGACUGCCGGUGACAAACCGGAGGAAGGUGGGGAUGACGUCAAAUCAUCAUGCCCCUUAUGACCUGGGCUACACACGUGCUACAAUGGCGUAUACAACGAGUUGCCAACCCGCGAGGGUGAGCUAAUCUCUUAAAGUACGUCUCAGUUCGGAUUGUAGGCUGCAACUCGCCUACAUGAAGUCGGAAUCGCUAGUAAUCGCGGAUCAGCACGCCGCGGUGAAUACGUUCCCGGGUCUUGUACACACCGCCCGUCACACCAUGAGAGUUUGUAACACCCAAAGCCGGUGGGGUAACCUUCGGGAGCCAGCCGUCUAAGGGGGGACAGAAU
RNAcentral lists this ribosomal RNA (1485 nucleotides) under Weissella confusa. Its description in RNAcentral is "bacterial SSU rRNA". It matches the Rfam family "Bacterial small subunit ribosomal RNA". Lineage: Bacteria; Bacillati; Bacillota; Bacilli; Lactobacillales; Lactobacillaceae. The record is from RNAcentral.